This 474-nucleotide ribosomal RNA is filed under the name uncultured bacterium. Its description in RNAcentral is "partial 16S ribosomal RNA". It matches the Rfam family "Bacterial small subunit ribosomal RNA", at positions 34 to 540 of the family's 1533-position model. The record is from RNAcentral.
AACGAACGCUGGCGGCAUGCCUAACACAUGCAAGUCGAACGAGACCUUCGGGUCUAGUGGCGCACGGGUGCGUAACGCGUGGGAACCUGCCCUUAGGUUCGGAAUAACUCCCCGAAAGGGGUGCUAAUACCGGAUAAUGUCUUCGGACCAAAGAUUUAUCGCCUUUGGAUGGGCCCGCGUUGGAUUAGCUAGUUGGUAGGGUAAAAGCCUACCAAGGCGACGAUCCAUAGCUGGUCUGAGAGGAUGAUCAGCCACACUGGGACUGAGACACGGCCCAGACGCAGAGGUGAGGCAGCUGGGGUGAAUAUUCAACAAUGGGCGAAACCUUGACAGAGCAAUGCCGCGUGAGUGAGGAAGGCCGUGGGGUUGAAACUUUCUUCUACCCGUAGUGAUAAUAACAGUACCGGGAAAACAAGCUCCGGCUCCCGCCGUGCCAGCAGCCGCGGUAAUAGAGACAGCGCACCCCGUAUGAAC